This 460-nucleotide ribosomal RNA is filed under the name uncultured bacterium. Its description in RNAcentral is "bacterial SSU rRNA". It matches the Rfam family "Bacterial small subunit ribosomal RNA", at positions 8 to 464 of the family's 1533-position model. The record is from RNAcentral.
AGAGUUUGAUCCUGGCUCAGAUUGAACGCUGGCGGCAGGCCUAACACAUGCAAGUCGAACGGUAACAAGAAGCAGCUUGCUGCUUCGCUGACGAGUGGCGGACGGGUGAGUAAUGUCUGGGAAACUGCCUGAUGGAGGGGGAUAACUACUGGAAACGGUAGCUAAUACCGCAUAACGUCGCAAGACCAAAGAGGGGGACCUUAGGGCCUCUUGCCAUCGGAUGUGCCCAGAUGGGAUUAGCUAGUAGGUGGGGUAACGGCUCACCUAGGCGACGAUCCCUAGCUGGUCUGAGAGGAUGACCAGCCACACUGGAACUGAGACACGGUCCAGACUCCUACGGGAGGCAGCAGUGGGGAAUAUUGCACAAUGGGCGCAAGCCUGAUGCAGCCAUGCCGCGUGUAUGAAGAAGGCCUUCGGGUUGUAAAGUACUUUCAGCGGGGAGGAAGGGAGUAAAGUUAAU